This is a long non-coding RNA of Capra hircus (goat), 555 nucleotides long. RefSeq lists it as uncharacterized. The record is from RefSeq and is a predicted model, not a curated record. The transcript is spliced from 2 exons. Lineage: Eukaryota; Metazoa; Chordata; Mammalia; Artiodactyla; Bovidae.
GGAAUGAACACCACGAGAUGUCAGAAAGGGCGGCAUCACCAGAGACGUGUUCCUGCGGUGUGGCGUGGGGGUUGGAGUGGGGGGUCCCUGCCAGUCAUGCACCCAGUGGUACUUAAAAGAUUGCUAACAUUCAAGAAAGUUUAGGUUAAAAGAGUGCCAACUAUAUUAUCAAGUAACCAUUUCUGGUAUUUGGUGAUGACAGCAUUCAAGCUGGAAGGACCUCCAACCUUCUGUUCCCGGCCCUGUACCCCAGGAUCUGGCGAUGAGGACUGGGAACCAGGGGUCUCAUGUACCAGCGAGACCUCCUGCCGCCCUGGCCCUGACUCUCGGGCCUCGCGGGAUGGACAUGGGCUCAUGUCCCUCUGGGAAGCCUGACUGGAGAGGCACCUUGCCGUUCUGCAUCAGGUCACGUCUGUUAGGAGAGAAUGCCAGUGUCCCCCCUGCCCCUGACAUCAUGACAGGCUUUGGAACGUGCCAGCGGCAGCCCCCUGAGGAUGGAGCGCAUCUCUGGCUGCAGCAAUUGAAUUUUAAUAGAGCAAAUGGAUUUAAGCAAAA